GAUACACGAGUGGCGCACGGGUGAGUAACGCGUACACAACCUACCCUUCAGUGGGGAAUAGCCCUGGGAAACUGGGAUUAAUACCCCAUAACAUUGAGGUCUUAAGAUUUCAAUUAAAGUUCCGACGCUGAAGGAUGGGUGUGCGUCCCAUUAGCUAGAUGGUAAGGUAACGGCUUACCACGGCUACGAUGGGUAGGGGGCGUGAGAGCGUGAUCCCCCACACGGGUACUGAGACACGGACCCG
Molecule: ribosomal RNA, 244 nt
Filed under: uncultured bacterium
Lineage: Bacteria
Description: partial 16S ribosomal RNA
Rfam family: Bacterial small subunit ribosomal RNA
Source: RNAcentral